CACGUAGGGCGCAAGCGUUGUCCGGAAUUAUUGGGCGUAAAGAGCUCGUAGGCGGUCUGUUGCGUCCGCUGUGAAAACCCGGGGCUUAACCCUGGGCUGGCAGUGGAUACGGACAGACUAGAGGUAGGUAGGGGAGAAUGGAAUUCCCGGUGUAGCGGUGAAAUGCGCAGAUAUCAGGAGGAACACCGAUGGCGAAGGCAGGUCUCUGGGCAUUAACUGACGCUGAGGAGCGAAAGCAUGGGGAGCGAACAGG
RNAcentral lists this ribosomal RNA (253 nucleotides) under uncultured bacterium. Its description in RNAcentral is "partial 16S ribosomal RNA". It matches the Rfam family "Bacterial small subunit ribosomal RNA", at positions 524 to 776 of the family's 1533-position model. The record is from RNAcentral.